GAAAAACUCUUAUAAUUCUAUUAAAUAGUGGUUUUAAUUUUAAUCAUCUUGAUACAAUAUUUUUUAAUAUCCAUAAAUAUGAGUUUCCAAAUGCUUUUCAGAAAGAAGGUGCAAUAAGAUUAAACAGGGAGUCCAGACAAGUAAUUAAAUCCAGCACAAGGCCCAAAUAUGCACCAAUGAGGUUGAACAAAGAAAUUUCAAUCAAUUGGCACUAUGAAAAUCGAUUGGAGAAGCUUGGUGCACUUAUUUUCAUAUCAAAUUCAAGCUAAAAUUUCCCUUCAAGUAAAUAAAAUCUCAACAUUGAUGAGGUACACACAAAAUCCUUAAAAAAUAUGGCGAACAAAUCAAUUGGAGCCUUUAAGCAAUUGAUUGGCACACUCAAUCUCAAAAGAUUUUGAUAUUAUUUUAAAUCACCAUAAUCCUCAUUAAUUUCCUUCUAUAAAUACACUAUCAAAUCUUCAAAAGGCAUAGUAUAAAUAAGUAUGCUCUCUCACUACCUCUUGCAUCUCAAAUUCAUCUCUUCUAGUCUUCUUUUUGUGAGUUCUGUUUCCGUAAGUAUCAUCAUGGAUUCCUUAAGACAAAAACUGAGAUAAACACCAAGAAGAGAUAUUAUCAUAGUUGCAUUAAUGAAUAAAAAGCAAGAAGAGAAUACUAGAACCAUGGUUUAUGGAGGAAACAUUCAUGAGAGGCUACAAACCCUACUCUCAUAUUUGUCAAGCCUUAUUAAGAGUUUUCUUUACAAAGAUACCCGAUAGAAUAUUCUCAAAUCUAGUAAAAGAAUUAUACUCAAACCUAUAUGUGACAUGAAAGACUCUAGCAUCAACAAUAAACCAUGUAAGAAUAGUAAUCCACACAUAACAUUUUGGUAUAAUGUUUGAAAUACUCUUCCUAGGAACAUUCUACAAGUUCAAGAGACUCAUAUGUCUCAAAAAUUUCAAGUGAAACACGGCUUUAAACACUCUAAUUACGAAUCCCAUGGAUAAAAGAAGAUUUCCUUUUAGGACAACCCUCUUGAAGCCAAAAGUUUGAAUUAUUCACUACUCUAUAACAGGAAUCUUGCUCCCAAGAAACAACAAUAACAAUUAUGUUAUCAAGGAUGACAUCUUCCCUCGUUGACUUACCCAAAACAUUCCAACUACCUAGAUGGAUGGGAUAUUUCAUCACAUGUCAUACUCCAAAGAAAAACCCUUAAUAGAACUUCCAUAUGGAACAAUAAUUACAAGAAUUUUAAGUACUUUUAACAUUGAUACUGAGAGAGAGAAAACAAUUUCAUCAAAUAUUAUAAUUGAUUACACCAGUCUCAUAGACAUGAAAAUUGAUAUAAAAUAUGAAGAAUUAAGAAAUGACUAGAGAAUAGGGAAAAAAACUCU
This 1370-nucleotide long non-coding RNA is filed under the name Lathyrus oleraceus (garden pea). RNAcentral describes it as "Pisum sativum (pea) long non-coding RNA (PSAT_LNC000447)". Lineage: Eukaryota; Viridiplantae; Streptophyta; Magnoliopsida; Fabales; Fabaceae. The record is from RNAcentral.